RNAcentral lists this transfer RNA (74 nucleotides) under Spirochaetota bacterium. RNAcentral describes it as "Spirochaetes bacterium tRNA-His". It matches the Rfam family "tRNA". Rfam says of the family: Transfer RNA (tRNA) molecules are approximately 80 nucleotides in length. Their secondary structure includes four short double-helical elements and three loops (D, anti-codon, and T loops). The record is from RNAcentral. Lineage: Bacteria; Pseudomonadati; Spirochaetota.
CAUCGAUUAGUCGAAUGGUAAGACGCCCGCCCGUGAAGUGGGAAACGUUGGUUCGAAUCCAACAUUGAUGACGA